CGGUAAUUCCAGCUCCAAUAGCGUAUACUAACGUUGUUGCAGUUAAAAAGCUCGUAGUUGGAUUUCUGGACGAUGACGUUUGGGUGGAGCUUCGUUGUUCCACUGAUCGUUCAUUGUUCAAAAUUUGUGAAAAGUCUUCAUGAUUCAUUCGUUUGGAUCUGUUGAUUAAUCACUCGUUUACUUUGAGAAAAUUAGAGUGUUCAAAGCAGGCAAUCGCCUUGAAUAUGUUAGCAUGGAAUAAUAACAUAGGACUUUUGUUCUAUUUGUUGGUUGUUCGAGAACGGGAGUAAUGAUUGAUAGGGACGGUUGGGGGCAUCCGUAUUCCCGAGCGAGAGGUGAAAUUCUUGGACCUUGGGAAGACGAACAGAUGCGAAAGCGUUUGCCAAGGACGUUCUCUUUAAUCAAGAACGAAAGCUAGGGGAUCGAAGACGAUCAGAUACCGUCGUAGUCUCAACUAUAAACUAUGCCAGCUAGGGAUCGGCGGGAUCUUGUCACGGAUCCGUCGGCACCUUACGAGAAAUCAAAGCAUUUGGGUUCCGGGGGGAGUAUGGUCGCAAGGCUGAAACUUAAAGGAAUUGACGGAAGGGCACCACCAGGAGUGGAGCCUGUGGCUUAAUUUGACUCAACACGGGAAAACUUACCAGGUCCGGACAUAGUAAGGAUUGACAGAUUGAAAGCUCUUUCUUGAUUCUAUGGGUGGUGGUGCAUGGCCGUUCUUAGUUGGUGGAGUGAUUUGUCUGGUUAAUUCCGUUAACAAACGAGACCCGCGCCUGCUAAAUAGCUUGCGUACUACGGUACCGUUAGCUUCUUAGAGGGACCAUCCUGCGUCUAGCGGAAGGAAGUUGCGGGCAAUAACAGGUCUGUGAUGCCCUUAGAUGUUCUGGGCCGCACACGGGCUACACUGGAGGGUACAACGAGCUUUACGCCGUACCGAAAGGUAAGGCCAAUCUUUGAAUACCCUCCGUGAUUGGGAUAGACCCUUGCAAUUUUUGGUCUUCAACGAGGAAUUCCUAGUAAACGCGUGUCAACAACACGCAUUGAUUACGUCCCUGCUCUUUGUACACACCGCCC
Molecule: ribosomal RNA, 1071 nt
Filed under: uncultured eukaryote
Lineage: Eukaryota
Description: bacterial SSU rRNA
Rfam family: Eukaryotic small subunit ribosomal RNA
Source: RNAcentral